Molecule: transfer RNA, 61 nt
Filed under: Ictidomys tridecemlineatus (thirteen-lined ground squirrel)
Lineage: Eukaryota; Metazoa; Chordata; Mammalia; Rodentia; Sciuridae
Description: Spermophilus tridecemlineatus (thirteen-lined ground squirrel) tRNA
Rfam family: tRNA
About the family: Transfer RNA (tRNA) molecules are approximately 80 nucleotides in length.
Source: Rfam by way of RNAcentral
UAUGGCUCAGUGGUAGAGUGCUUGCCUAGCAUGUAUGAGGCAUUGGGUUCAAUUCUCAGUA